AUCGACACUUUGAACGCAUAUUGCGGCCAAGGGUCCGUCCUUUGGCCACGCCCGUCUGAGGGUCGGC
Molecule: ribosomal RNA, 67 nt
Filed under: Conasprella vimineus
Lineage: Eukaryota; Metazoa; Mollusca; Gastropoda; Neogastropoda; Conidae
Description: partial 5.8S ribosomal RNA
Rfam family: 5.8S ribosomal RNA
About the family: 5.8S ribosomal RNA (5.8S rRNA) is a component of the large subunit of the eukaryotic ribosome. It is transcribed by RNA polymerase I as part of the 45S precursor that also contains 18S and 28S rRNA. Functionally, it is thought that 5.8S rRNA may be involved in ribosome translocation.
Source: RNAcentral